AACGCGAAGAACCUUACCUGGGUUUGACAUGCACCAGAUCGGCGUAGAGAUACGUCCUCCCUUGUGGUUGGUGCACAGGUGGUGCAUGGUUGUCGUCAGCUCGUGUCGUGAGAUGUUGGGUUAAGUCCCGCAACGAGCGCAACCCUUGUCUUAUGUUGCCAGCACAUUUUUGGUGGGGACUCAUGAGAAACUGCCGGGGUCAACUCGGAGGAAGGUGGGGAUGACGUCAAAUCAUCAUGCCCUUUAUACCCAGGGCUUCACACAUGCUACAAUGGUCGGUACAACGGGUUGCGACACUGUGAAGUGAAGCUAAUCUCCCAAAGCCGGCCUCAGUUCGGAUUGGGGUCUGCAACUCGACCCCAUGAAGUCGGAGUCGCUAGUAAUCGCAGAUCAGCACG
This 398-nucleotide ribosomal RNA is filed under the name uncultured Corynebacterium sp. RNAcentral describes it as "bacterial SSU rRNA". It matches the Rfam family "Bacterial small subunit ribosomal RNA", at positions 958 to 1356 of the family's 1533-position model. Lineage: Bacteria; Bacillati; Actinomycetota; Actinomycetes; Mycobacteriales; Corynebacteriaceae. The record is from RNAcentral.